UACGGAGGGCGCAAGCGUUGUUCGGAAUCACUGGGCGUAAAGCGCGUGUAGGCGGCUUGGCAAGUCGGGUGUGAAAUCCCGAGGCUCAACCUCGGAACUGCACUCGAAACUGCCUGGCUCGAGUCCCGGAGAGGGUGGCGGAAUUCCCGGUGUAGGGGUGAAAUCCGUAGAUAUCGGGAGGAACACCAGUGGCGAAGGCGGCCACCUGGACGGUGACUGACGCUGAGACGCGAAAGCGCGGGGAGCAAACAGG
Molecule: ribosomal RNA, 253 nt
Filed under: uncultured bacterium
Lineage: Bacteria
Description: partial 16S ribosomal RNA
Rfam family: Bacterial small subunit ribosomal RNA
Source: RNAcentral